AUGAGUUAAGUAUAAACCCCUUUACAAGUAUCAAUUGGAGGGCAAGUCUGGUGCCAGCAGCCGCGGUAAUUCCAGCUCCAAUAGCGUAUAUUAAAGUUGUUGCAGUUAAAAAGCUCGUAGUUGGAUUUCUGUUAAUAAUUUAUAUAAUAUUUUAACGAUAUUAUAUAAUAUUAACAUAAUUCAUAUUACUAUAUAUUUAGUAUAUGGAAUUUUACUUUGAGAAAAUUAGAGUGCUUAAAGCAGGCAUUUGCCUUGAAUACUCCAGCAUGGAAUAAUAUAAAAGAUUUUUAUCUUUUUUAUUGGUUCUAAGAUAAAAAUAAUGAUUAAUAGGGACAGUUGGGGGCAUUUGUAUUUAACAGUCAGAGGUGAAAUUCUUAGAUUUGUUAAAGACAAACUAAUGCGAAAGCAUUUGCCAAGGAUGUUUUCAUUAAUCAAGAACGAAAGCUAGGGGAUCGAAGACGAUCAGAUACCGUCGUAGU
RNAcentral lists this ribosomal RNA (479 nucleotides) under Cryptosporidium sp. vole genotype II. RNAcentral describes it as "SSU rRNA". It matches the Rfam family "Eukaryotic small subunit ribosomal RNA", at positions 514 to 1024 of the family's 1831-position model. Lineage: Eukaryota; Apicomplexa; Conoidasida; Eucoccidiorida; Cryptosporidiidae. The record is from RNAcentral.